RNAcentral lists this ribosomal RNA (497 nucleotides) under uncultured bacterium. RNAcentral describes it as "partial 16S ribosomal RNA". It matches the Rfam family "Bacterial small subunit ribosomal RNA", at positions 28 to 507 of the family's 1533-position model. The record is from RNAcentral.
GAUGAACGCUGGCGGCGUGCCUAAUACAUGCAAGUCGAGCGAACAGAUGAGGAGCUUGCUCCUCUGACGUUAGCGGCGGACGGGUGAGUAACACGUGGAUAACCUACCUAUAAGACUGGGAUAACUUCGGGAAACCGGAGCUAAUACCGGAUAAUAUAUUGAACCGCAUGGUUCAAUAGUGAAAGACGGUUUUGCUGUCACUUAUAAAUGGAUCCGCGCCGCAUUAGCUAGUUGGUAAGGUAACGGCUUACCAAGGCGACGAUGCGUAGCCGACCUGAGAGGGUGAUCGGCCACACUGGAACUGAGACACGGUCCAGACUCCUACGGGAGGCAGCAGUAGGGAAUCUUCCGCAAUGGGCGAAAGCCUGACGGAGCAACGCCGCGUGAGUGAUGAAGGUCUUCGGAUCGUAAAACUCUGUUAUUAGGGAAGAACAAAUGUGUAAGUAACUAUGCACGUCUUGACGGUACCUAAUCAGAAAGCCACGGCUAACUACGUG